RNAcentral lists this transfer RNA (71 nucleotides) under Trogoderma variabile. RNAcentral's name for it is "tRNA-Lys". The record is from RNAcentral. Lineage: Eukaryota; Metazoa; Arthropoda; Insecta; Coleoptera; Dermestidae.
CAUUAGAUGACUGAAAGCAAGUAAUGGUCUCUUAAACCACUCUAUAGUAAAUUAGCGCCUACUUCUAAUGG